CCCUUAGAUGUCCUGGGCCGCACGCGCGCUACACUGAUGCAUUCAACGAGUUCACCUUGGCCGAGAGGCCUGGGCAAUCUUUUGAACGUGCAUCGUGAUAGGGAUAGAUUAUUGCAAUUUUUAAUCUUGAACGAGGAAUUCCUAGUAAACGCAGAUCAUCAAUCUGCAUUGAUUACGUCCCUGCCCUUUGUACACACCGCCCGUCGCACCUACCGAUUGAAUGGUCCGGUGAAGCCUCGGGAUUGCGAUUAGUUCUCUUUAUUGAGAGUUAGUCACAAGAACUUGUCUAAACCUUAUCAUUUAGAGGAAGGUGAAGUCGUANCA
This 324-nucleotide ribosomal RNA is filed under the name uncultured eukaryote. Its description in RNAcentral is "partial 18S ribosomal RNA". It matches the Rfam family "Eukaryotic small subunit ribosomal RNA", at positions 1470 to 1796 of the family's 1831-position model. The record is from RNAcentral.